AUGAAUCUGUUUUCUGCCGGUCAACUUACUGAUUCUGGUUGUCGUGUCAUCCUUGAUGUUGACUCUUGUUCUGUCCAGGAUCGUCGCACGCACACUCUGGUUGGGGCUGGCCCUCGCCGCCGUGAUUCUCAGGGUCUUUGGGAGUUGGACUGGCUUCAUGUUCCUUCCGCUGCCACCACCAUCGCCAGUUCCUCCACUGCUGUCGCUUCUGUUACUGGUUCCUUCAAGCAGUGGCAUCAUCGACUUGGUCAUCUGUGUGGUUCUCGAUUAUCGUCUUUAGUUCGUCGAGGCCUUCUGGGGUCUGUCUCAGGAGAUGUCUCUUUAGAGUGUCAGGGUUGUCGUCUUGGCAAGCAGAUUCAGCUACCAUAUUCUCAUAGUGAGUCAGUGUCUCAGCGUCCUUUCGAUUUAGUCCAUUCUGAUGUAUGGGGUCCGGCUCCUUUCACUUCGAAAGGUGGUCAUAAAUACUAUAUUAUUUUCAUCGAUGAUUUUUCUCGUUAUACAUGGCUUUAUUUCAUGACUUCACGUAGUGAGGUGUUGUCUAUUUAUAAGCGUUUUGCUGCCAUGGUUCAUACUCAGUUCUCUUCACCCAUUCGUGUUUUUCGUGCUGACUCCGCUGGUGAGUAUAUCUCUAAGAUGUUGCGUGGUGUCCUUGCUGAGCAGGGUACUCUUGCCCAGUUCUCUUGUCCUGGUGCUCAUGCUCAGAAUGGUGUGUCUGAGCGCAAGCAUCGUCACCUUCUUGAGACGGCUCGUGCUAUGAUGAUCGCCGCCUCUCUUCCGCCUCAUUUUUGGGCCGAGGCUAUCUCCACUUCUGUCUAUCUCAUCAACCUUCAGCCAUCUGCUGCUUUGCAGGGUGGUGUUCCUUUUGAGCGUCUGUUUGAUCGCUCUCCCGAUUAUUCGAUGCUUCGCUUGUUUGGUUGUGUUUGCUAUGUUCUUCUUGCUCCUCGCGAACGCACCAAACUGACCGCUCAGUCUGUUGAGUGUGUCUUCUUAGGCUACAGUGAUGAGCAUAAGGGCUAUCGUUGUUGGGAUCCUGUCGGUCGUCGGAUGCGUAUCUCUUGA
This 1059-nucleotide ribosomal RNA is filed under the name Triticum aestivum (bread wheat). Its description in RNAcentral is "partial small subunit ribosomal RNA". The record is from RNAcentral. Lineage: Eukaryota; Viridiplantae; Streptophyta; Magnoliopsida; Poales; Poaceae.